RNAcentral lists this transfer RNA (74 nucleotides) under Caudoviricetes sp. RNAcentral describes it as "tRNA-Cys". It matches the Rfam family "tRNA". From Rfam's summary of the family: Transfer RNA (tRNA) molecules are approximately 80 nucleotides in length. Their secondary structure includes four short double-helical elements and three loops (D, anti-codon, and T loops). The record is from RNAcentral. Lineage: Duplodnaviria; Heunggongvirae; Uroviricota; Caudoviricetes.
GUGAGUGUGGCUGAAUGGUUAAGCAGCAGUCUGCAAAACUGUCAAUAAAGGUUCAAUUCCUUUCACUCACUCCA